GUUAAUCCUAGAAUCAAAAAACGGUACUAAUUUAAAACUUGCUUAAUGAAAUUUAGCCAGUUUUGCUGGUAGUGUUAAUAAAGUGUAUUUUUUCCAAACCUAUAACCCAGUGGAAGUGGUAUGCAUUGUAAUUUCCUUCCUCCUUUGUUAUAGUCUUGGUCUCUUUCCAUCUUUAUCAGACUCUCUGUCCCUUUGUUUCAGCUCCAAAGGGGAAGAGUGACUUGAUUAGGGUUUUCUCUCCUAUGAGCCUCACCUCACUCCCUCAUCCCACUUCCCAGUAUCUUCAGGAUGCUAGUAAAUAAUGACCCAGAACUUAAGUUUACAAUCCUGUCCGUGGUGACAUAUAACAAGCAUGAGCUCAGCCUGCACGCAGGCGCUUCAGGUCUUUGUUGUUGUGUCUAAAGGAUGUAUAAGUGCAGACCCACACUGGACUGCAUUCCAGCCACUCUGGUUUUCACUGUUGGCUGUUCUUGGGCCCUGCCCCCAGCUAGUUUAUUUAGGGUGUUUAUUAUGGAAUUUGCCAAGUCCUAUGGAUCAGAUUAUACACUAACUUUUUAUAUAUAUAUAUAUAUAUAUAUUUUUUUGUAUGUAUAUAUGAUUAUACAUUGAUGUGUGUGCAUGUGUGUCUGGAAAAAAUAUAUACAUUUAUGUAUAUAUGUGUACACACACACACACACACACACACACACUGAUAUCUAAAAACUUUAGUUUGUCUUGACAUCAUUAGGCUUUGUUUUAGUAUUUGUGUAUGUGCCAAAAUUUGGCAUAGAUUUUUCUCUUCUAAGUAGUCUAUGGAAAGCACAAUUUUUAUAUUUAUUGUACCUUUCUCUUUAGUUCAUGAAGACACGAAAACUUACUCAUAAAGUUAGGGAUUUUGUUUCAUUUUUGAAACUGAGGGUAUUAAGUGACAGUAACUGUCCUUUCAAAAAAAAUCCUACGUUUUAAAAUUUUAGUUUCCAGACUACUGUGUGUUGGGGGGGGG
This 982-nucleotide long non-coding RNA is filed under the name Mus pahari (shrew mouse). RNAcentral describes it as "predicted gene 28941 (MGP_PahariEiJ_G0033037.1)". The record is from RNAcentral. Lineage: Eukaryota; Metazoa; Chordata; Mammalia; Rodentia; Muridae.